RNAcentral lists this ribosomal RNA (603 nucleotides) under Limibacillus halophilus. RNAcentral describes it as "bacterial SSU rRNA". It matches the Rfam family "Bacterial small subunit ribosomal RNA", at positions 75 to 713 of the family's 1533-position model. Lineage: Bacteria; Pseudomonadati; Pseudomonadota; Alphaproteobacteria; Rhodospirillales; Rhodovibrionaceae. The record is from RNAcentral.
UGACUUCGGUCAGUGGGCACCGGCGCACGGGUGAGUAACGCGUGGGAACCUACCCAGGGGUGGGGGAUAACCGCUGGAAACGGCGGCUAAUACCGCAUACGCCUUUUUGAGGGAAAGAUUUAUCGCCCUUGGAUGGGCCCGCGUUGGAUUAGGUAGUUGGUGGGGUAAAGGCCUACCAAGCCUACGAUCUAUAGCUGGUCUGAGAGGAUGAUCAGCCACACUGGGACUGAGACACGGCCCAGACUCCUACGGGAGGCAGCAGUGGGGAAUCUUGGACAAUGGGGGCAACCCUGAUCCAGCCAUGCCGCGUGAGUGAAGAAGGCCUUAGGGUUGUAAAGCUCUUUCAACGGUGAAGAUGAUGACUGUAGCCGUAGAAGAAGCCCCGGCUAACUCCGUGCCAGCAGCCGCGGUAAUACGGAGGGGGCAAGCGUUGUUCGGAAUUACUGGGCGUAAAGGGCGUGUAGGCGGCCAAACAAGUCAGAGGUGAAAGCCCUGGGCUCAACCUGGGAACUGCCUUUGAAACUGUUUGGCUUGAGACCGGAAGAGGAUGGCGGAAUUCCCAGUGUAGAGGUGAAAUUCGUAGAUAUUGGGAAGAACACCGGU